GCCGCUUUAGCUCAGUUGGCAGAGCACGCCCAUGGUAAGGGCGGGGUCCCGGGUUCGAAUCCCGGAGGCGGCUCUA
RNAcentral lists this transfer RNA (76 nucleotides) under Candidatus Beckwithbacteria bacterium RIFCSPHIGHO2_12_FULL_47_17. Its description in RNAcentral is "tRNA-Thr". It matches the Rfam family "tRNA". Rfam says of the family: Transfer RNA (tRNA) molecules are approximately 80 nucleotides in length. RNAcentral also lists the same sequence under 1 other name. The record is from RNAcentral. Lineage: Bacteria; Candidatus Beckwithiibacteriota.